RNAcentral lists this non-coding RNA (30 nucleotides) under Rattus norvegicus (Norway rat). Lineage: Eukaryota; Metazoa; Chordata; Mammalia; Rodentia; Muridae. The record is from RNAcentral.
UNGGAGCCUCUGCAACCUCGCAUUGAGAGA